This is a non-coding RNA of Chlorocebus sabaeus (green monkey), 1502 nucleotides long. The record is from RefSeq and is a predicted model, not a curated record. Lineage: Eukaryota; Metazoa; Chordata; Mammalia; Primates; Cercopithecidae.
UUUAGUUUAAUUCCAUUGUGGUCAGAGAAUAUACUUGUUAUGUUGUUUUCACAUGAUAGUGAGCUAGUUUUCAUGAGAUCUGGUUGUUUGAAAGUGUGUGGCACUUCCCCCUUCAUUAUCUCUCUUUUCAGCUCCACAAUGGUGGGAUGUGCUUGCUGGCUUCUCCUUCACCUUCUGCCAUGAUUGUCAGUUUCCUGAGGUCUCCCAACCAUGCUUCUGUACAGCGUGUAGAACUUUUGAUGAUUCCCUCCCUGGAGAUCUUCACCUGCAGUUCCUGGCAUGAGUGAUGCCACUUCCACACAGUCAAUUUAAUCCCUUCAUAUCUCUUCUGCAUCUGUGACACAACUUUAUCUUCUUGUUGCUGAGGCUGCCUCACCCUUGGUAGAAGCUUUUGGUGGCACUUAUGACCAGCUAAUCAACUUGACUAUCAGGCAGCACCAUUCCACAGAAUUGUAUGUGAUCUAUGGAAAAUCGACCCGUCUGCCCUGCUUUCAAUGAACUUGUAACUUACUACUGACAAGAGGCUUCUUGUUCUUCUAUAGGCAGCUGUUUUGGUAUCAGGAUGAUGCUGGCUUCUUCGUGACCUGCUAAGAAGUAUCAAGCCCAGAAAUCUUCACAGAAGGUAUCAUUCAAACCUCCAAAGAACAAAUAAUCUCAAUGCUAUUUCAACUGUUUCAAUGUAUAAAGAAGGAAAGUUUCCAAAUAUUCUCUAUGAUGCCAGAAAGCAAUUAUUCCAAAAUGUGAUAAAUAUAGUACAGAAAAAGAAAAUUAUUAAUAAAUAUAAUUUGUGAAUAUCAAUGCAAAACCCUAAAGAAAUUAGGUAAUAGCAUCUAUUAGUAAUUUCAAAUAAUAAUAUAUACUAAGUAAAGGUCCUGUCAGGAAUGAACUAAUGGUUCAAUAUUAAGAAACAUAUUGAUUUAAUUUAUAUAUUUAAUAGGCUAAAUGAUUAAAAAGGUAGCAUUUUCAUAGAUGGUGAAAAGGCAUUCAAUAAAACUCAAUAUUCAUUCCCAAGGAAAGAUAAACAAACAACAGCAAGAACAAAUUUCUUUAAUUCCCUUUUCAGCAAGGUAAGUUAAUAACUCACCCAAGGUCAUACAACCAGUAAAGAUAGGUCCUGAAUUUGAACCUAGAUAGAUUUUGUGCAGAGAUAAUUUAAUCCUGUAUACCUACAAACAAACACCAGUGCUUCUCAACCUUCUUCAUGUUGUGGUACACAUAGAAAAUGAAAAUAUUUUUACGGCAUGCUGGGAAAUCAAUCAAGGUCACAUGUAGAGGAAAUCGCUUAAGGCCCGGGUUACCUGAGGACCAGCUUAGCUGCCCCAGGGGCUGAGGGGAUCAAUAUUUUGGCACAUUUUAACUUGCGGAGGUUUGCCUACUGUAUACUGCCACUAGAAGAAAACACAGCCUACAUCUAGAAUCAAAAUAAUAUGGGAAUCUGAUAUGUAACAAAGAUGAUAUUUUAAAUCAGUAUGUAAAAAUAGGUUACAGCUGACUUUCCAUUU